UAGAAGUUACUUCGGUACAUCGGUGACAGGUGGUGCAUGGUUGUCGUCAGCUCGUGUCGUGAGAUGUUGGGUUAAGUCCCGCAACGAGCGCAACCCCUAUUGUUAGUUGCCAUCAUUCAGUUGGGCACUCUAGCGAGACUGCCGGUAAUAAACCGGAGGAAGGUGGGGAUGACGUCAAAUCAUCAUGCCCCUUAUGACCUGGGCUACACACGUGCUACAAUGGUUGGUACAACGAGUUGCGAGUCGGUGACGGCGAGCUAAUCUCUUAAAGCCAAUCUCAGUUCGGAUUGUAGGCUGCAACUCGCCUACAUGAAGUCGGAAUCGCUAGUAAUCGCGGAUCAGCACGCCGCGGUGAAUACGUUCCCGGGCCUU
RNAcentral lists this ribosomal RNA (372 nucleotides) under uncultured Streptococcus sp. RNAcentral's name for it is "bacterial SSU rRNA". It matches the Rfam family "Bacterial small subunit ribosomal RNA", at positions 1009 to 1382 of the family's 1533-position model. The record is from RNAcentral. Lineage: Bacteria; Bacillati; Bacillota; Bacilli; Lactobacillales; Streptococcaceae.